Molecule: ribosomal RNA, 253 nt
Filed under: uncultured bacterium
Lineage: Bacteria
Description: partial 16S ribosomal RNA
Rfam family: Bacterial small subunit ribosomal RNA
Source: RNAcentral
UACGGAGGGUGCAAGCGUUACCCGGAAUCAUUGGGCGUAAAGCGUGCGUAGGCGGAUUAUUAAGUCAGGUGUCAAAUACUGCAGCUCAACUGUAGCAAGGUAUCUGAAACUGGUAGUCUAGAGUCUUGUAGAGGUAUGUGGAAUUCUGUGUGUAGGGGUAAAAUCCGUAGAUAUACAGAGGAACACCAAAAGCGAAGGCAGCAUACUGGGCAAGUACUGACGCUGUUGCACGAAAGCGUGGGGAGCAAACAGG